GAUGAACGCUAGCGGCAGGCCUAACACAUGCAAGUCGAGGGGCAUCAUGGCGUAGCAAUACGCUGAUGGCGACCGGCGCACGGGUGCGUAACGCGUAUGGAACCUACCCACCGCAGGGGGAUAACCCGCCGAAAGGCGGACUAAUACCCCAUGGUUCCCCGACCCUGCCUGGGGUUGGGGGUAAAGCCUACGGGCGGCGGUGGAUGGCCCUGCGUGCCAUUAGCUGGCUGGUGGGGUAAACGGCCCACCAGGGCGACGAUGGCUAGGGGGUCUGAGAGGACGAUCCCCCACACUGGUACUGAGACACGGACCAGACUCCUACGGGAGGCAGCAGUGAGGAAUAUUGGUCAAUGGGCGGAAGCCUGAACCAGCCAUGCCGCGUGCAGGAUGACGGCCCUACGGGUUGUAAACUGCUUUUCCCCGGGGCGAAUAACCCCCUCGCGAGGGGGAGGCCGGUACCGGGGAAGUAAGGAUCGGCUAACUCCGUGCCAGCAGCCGCGGUAACUCGUCUCUA
Molecule: ribosomal RNA, 514 nt
Filed under: uncultured bacterium
Lineage: Bacteria
Description: bacterial SSU rRNA
Rfam family: Bacterial small subunit ribosomal RNA
Source: RNAcentral